This 254-nucleotide ribosomal RNA is filed under the name uncultured bacterium. RNAcentral's name for it is "partial 16S ribosomal RNA". It matches the Rfam family "Bacterial small subunit ribosomal RNA", at positions 524 to 776 of the family's 1533-position model. The record is from RNAcentral.
UACAGAGGUCCCGAGCGUUGUUCGGAUUUAUUGGGCGUAAAGGGUGCGUAGGCGGCGGAGUAAGUUGGGUGUGAAAUCCCGAGGCUCAACCUCGGAAUUGCAUUCAAUACUGCUUCGCUCGAGUACUGGAGAGGAGGCUGGAAUUUACGGUGUAGCAGUGAAAUGCGUAGAUAUCGUAAGGAAGGCCGGUGGCGAAAAGCGAGCCUCUGGACAGUUACUGACGCUGAUGCACGAAGGCCAGGGGAGCAAACGGG